Molecule: long non-coding RNA, 380 nt
Organism: Homo sapiens (human)
Lineage: Eukaryota; Metazoa; Chordata; Mammalia; Primates; Hominidae
Source: Ensembl
AGGGGUGAACCGAGACUCAGACUUACCCAAGGUCACCAAAGCUGGCAGAGCUCCCGGCUGCCUGACUGUUCUGUCCAAGUGCCCCCACACCUCGACGCCUUCAGCAGCCGCUAGCUCCAGGGAUUCCUGGGGAAGCCAAGGCCGGCCGGACUCCUGGGAGCCCUGGUCUGGCCUCCAGCGACCCCUCACCCCUCACGGCACAGCAUCUCUUCUGCAGGACUUCAGAAUGCCCCCUCUGGGAUCUCCCAAAGCAGUCGGUAGCCCUGGCACCCUCCCCCAAUCCUAAAACCCUGCUCUCUCCAUGAAACCAGUCCCUGCAUCUUCUCAUCCCAUAUUGUUUUGCAGGCUCUACCCUGAGUCAUUAUAUUCCUUUCUCAUCC